UGCCUUUAAUGAUCACUUUUAAUGUUGUCUGUUUUAUGAAGAAGGCUCUUGUGGGUUUUCCUUAAUCCUGGCUAAAUUAUGAUUAUAUGUGUGGGAUUUUGAUGUAGCGUUCCUUUCCCAUGCCUUUCCAUCAAAGGGAAUUCCUCCAUACGCUUCUCAACAUGGUUGCAUCUUGGAAGGAAAAUAAGGCUUUUACUGAAGAUAAGGCUUCACUUUCUUUCUUACAGUAGUAGUAUAUUAAUCCCUUUUACAGCUUGUUAAACAUUGAUAUACUUACUGUACUGUAAGUCACAAGUUGCAAAUUCUGUACUGCAGUCUUGAGUUUCAGAUGAUUACUGCAGGAGUUUACUACAGGACUACCAUAUAGAUAACAAUAACGAACACAAACUUGAACUUAAAAUACUGCAAAUACUUUACCAGCUAAUGUUUAUCUCUAAACCUGAUCAUUAGAAUAUUACUAAGUGUUUAGGGUGUGGCAUUGCGGCAUACCCCUUGGCUGUUAGGGUUGGGUGCUGCCACAAGAUCUUGCUCUCUUUCUCUCUUUCUCUGGGUCCCACCCCCUUUGCCACUGCCAUCUCCUGGUUUUCCCAGAAUGCCCUGUCUGAGAGCACUGGCCUGAAAUAAAACUAAGAGGGCCCUCAUAGAGAGAAUGGGAGCUUUGUCUCAGCUGCCAUUUACACUGUCUGGGGGCAUAGAAGGAGAAGAAGGAGAACUCAAAGAGAGUGUCUGAUUGCAAAUUAGCACAGCCCAGGCCCGCUGCUCCCCACCCUCCUGUGAUUUCACUCUGUGGGGGUGAGAAGUGGAUAAAGUUCUGGUACUAAAGUUGGCAUUCAACGUAUUUCCAUCUGUCAUCUUCACUGAUGACCAGUGCCUUGUUUCAGUCAGGUGGAAAUAUAAGUUGUUUGCGGCGUGUUUUUGACUUUUCUUUUGUCGAGGUCUGUUGAGGCUGUGCCAUUGGGGGUUGCUUAUUAUGCAAGCAAUGUUGUGUCUGAAUCUGUAAUUAGUUAAAGACAAAAGACAGCCUCUGAGCGCUGCAGACGAGGCCGCUUGACACUAGAACCCUUCCCAAGACAGACUCUUGUAGUGAUUGACACGUGUCACAAGAGCGGGUGUGAUUUGUCGGUGCGAACUUGCCUAGGCUGAGAUGUUAUAUGUACCACCUGGGCAUAAAAAGUUUCAAUAAUGUGAUUAUUGGAUUUGAAUGGCUCAAGGAGAUUUGAUCAUUUAAAGGCAACAAAUAAUCUGGAUUUGCUACUAUUUGAUAACUAAAAUGUGUUGUGUAAUUUUGGUAUGAAUUUCGAAAAUGGGUCAUUUCUUUGUUUUGAAUGUAAAUAUACCAUGAAGGAUUUGUUCACUUUACUGUUUCAUUUUUUUUUCCUAAUUUUUCUUAAUUUUCUUUUCUUUUCUUUUAUUUAUUCAUUUAUUAUUACAUUACUGGAAAUUAACCACAGUAUAUUUUCAGGCAGCGAUGAGUAAUGAGUUAUGAACCUGAUAACCCCUCUGUAAUCCCUGCUUUGUAAAACACACACACACACACACACACACACAGAGAGAGAACCUGAGUCAGAUGUUUAAUCUCAUUGCUUUUGUCUGUAUGAGUAGAUACACAUGUCUAUUGACCAUAUAUUGCUCUUAAACAAGAUAUUACCUGACAGAAGACUCAAGGAUUUAUAUAAGUAAUUUGUUGAGACAUGCUAUCAGGCGGCUAUGGGCUGCUACACGUCCCUGUUCGCCUUAUUCUCGGCUCAUUCACGUGUUUUCGGUGCCACGGCGGACUGAAGGAGCCCGUGAGUGCGCGAGCACCGCUGCAUCUCCCCGAGCAGCUCGUGCAGCAGCAGUGUGCAGCAGUGUGCAAUGCCGGACAUGCCUUAGAAUUUCGGGAAAUAGCUUGUCUAGCUGUACACAGGCUCUUGUGUAACGGGUUGCUGUGAAUCCCACUCCACUUCGCUUCACCUUAGUUGAACUUGGGUGAUCUAGUUCAGCAGGCGCGUGAACGCUGUCAGGCCGGUGUGUCGGGUGCCGCGAGGAGGAAAAGAAGAACAACAACAACAACACGAAAAAGAAGAAGAAGAAGAAAAGCUGUCAUUAUAAUAAUAAUAAUAAUAAUCAUAAUAAUAAUUAUGAUUAUUAUGAUUACGCCAGAAUCCUUAAAAGGGACAAUCUCUCGACGUAUAUAUAUAUAUAUAUAUGUCGUAGGCAUAUUUUUCUUUCUUUCUUUUUUAGCUCCUAACACCGAGGGACGCCCCGGCUCGCGCUGCUUUUUCGCUUCGCUCGCGCUCGCGCUCGUCUCCGUCGUUGCCGAGGAGCUCGCGCUCAACAAAAGUAACCGGGACGACUGGAAUUCGCCAUGGAGAAGAAUGACAGCUCUCCACCGCCCGGACAGCGCGAGCUCACCGUCUCUUCUUCUCUUCUCUUCUCUUCUCUUUGCUCUUAAACUUGAACUUGAACUUGAGCUCCACCACCGGCCCCGUCGCCGCCUAAACGUCGUCUCCGUGUCCGUGUAAUGAGGAAGAUUUGGUAGAUGAGGUACUUAUCCAUGGCAUCAUGAUACAGAGGCUGACCCUAGAGUUCACAGCUGUAAUUGAGAAGUCUUGCAGACACGUGCUUGUGGGGCCCCAGGAGAGACCACCACCGCAGCGGAGCCGGGGAGCGAAAGGCCUUCAGGACCAGUCUGUAUAGCCUCAGUCUACCCACAUUUUCCUCUUUUGUGAGGUAAGUUUUUCAUAGUUUUUCACGAGGUUUUGUCUAUAAUUUAAUUCUUAACUCAGGUCUGUUCGGCACAGCACAGUUCAGGUCUGUUAUUGUUAUCGAAUGUAGGCUGUUAUAUUUAAUUCAAAUAUACGUCUAUGUUUGCAUGUCUUGGGAAGCACUCUGAAUUACGUAAAACAUUGUAUUUCUCAGACUUGGUUUUACUAAUCGGGUUUUUAAAAUUUCCAUGAACAAGAUGCAAAAUCUGCACAGUAACUGGUCAAAUAAAAUUCGAAUUUAUUGCUACAAAGUGUGGCGCAAAUCGGCAGGCGGUUUUUAAUAAUAAUAAUAGUAUGUCAACCUCAUAGAUAUUUGGGCGCUUAGAAUAAGAAAACUUGCCUGCUUUACCAUAGAACUUUGGAUUCGCUGUCUUUCCUGGGCUUAUUUGGUUUCCGAUCACUAAAAAAUAAGGCAGAGAAGGGAGUCCUUCUCAAGCGAGUCCUUAUAAAGACUCAUUACGACAUUAAGGCCAGGCCAAACCCUACUACCAUCCCAACAUUUUCUACAGGCAUCCAUUUCAUUUAAUAAGGAAGCCAUGAGUACAGGAUUUGCUUUCCUGAACACCUCGUAUGCUGCCUGACUCUGGGUUUGUCUUAGCUCAGUCUAAUGAUUUUUUUUGCAUAAUCUCGAACUGUAUUGUGUUGUGCUUCAUUACAUUUUUUUAAAUAAAUAUCAUAUUUUAUAAGAAAUAAACGAAAAUAAUGCUUUGUUCACAAGUACGCAUAAUAAUAUUAUAACGUCGGUUUUAUUUCUUUUUUGUGAUAUAUUUACUGGUUGUAUUUUUUCAUAAUAACAUAUAUGUAUUAAAAUAUUUCAUCUUUCCGAAUUGUGAAUAUUGCAAAAACUAAAACUAUAACAGCUUUGCUUUCGCAAUCGAUAUUUUGUAAUGUUUAAAAAAUGUGUUUUCGUAACGUAACAUUAUAAUCAACAUUUAUUCCUAAAGGCUGUAUCAAAUGCGUCACAUUAUAUUUAAAACAAGUAUUUGAAUUUUGUUCUGGAAUUUUCCAUAAUUCAUUUUCUGCAUAUCUAUCAACGUCCGUAUUUAUCUUAUUUUAUUUUUAAUUGUCUGUAAUGUUGCUGGUAUAUUAUUUUUGUAGGUUAAUAUUGGUAACAGUAAUAAGACAAAAAAUAAUCUCAGUAGCAUGACAAAAAGAGAUCUCUGAGCACACACUUACACACUCUCUGUCUCACACACACUCUCUCUCUCACACACACACACACACACACACACUCAUAUACACACACGCCUCCUGAAGAUCUAAUAAUUCGUUGUUGCACAUGUUUACUCAGCAAAACAAAUAGAAAUUGUGUUGAAAAUUUAUAGGUGGUGCUGCAGUUAUAAGGGCAAAAUUUUUCCCUGUAAAUGCAAUCAAAUUAAAAUUUAUAGGCAAGUAGUUCAGCAGGUCUGCUUCACCUGAGUUGGUUUAUGAUAGGUAGUUUACUGCUGGACAAAUGACAGAUUAAACUCUGAGUGGGGGGGUUUGAAGUGUUUUGGCACGUAAGUGGCAUAUUGAGUUGGCAGUGAAAACCCCCCACCCACCCCACCCAUGCUUGCCAUAUCUACCCAUCUACUCUGUUUUUUCUGUAGUGAAUGGAGUGUUCCAGAAAUAGUGUAUGGUAUAAGCACAUUGCAGGUGGCAUCUUGUUAAUGGGAGGGCGGUUGGGACAUGAAUGAUGCUUGAGGUUAAACCCUUAACCCUUGGUAAUUUGAAAAUAUGAAAUAUAAUGUGUGUCUUUUGAUUUAUGAAUUGAAUAUAGAAUUUGAAUUUAUUUAUGUGAAUUUUUUUUUUUUUUUUACAUUUAUCUGGCGUAUUUGGAGAAUAUUCUGAUGUGUUCUGUGUGAGUGUGUGUGUGUGUGUGUGUGUGUGUGUGUCUGGUUCUGGUUAGAAUGUGUGCAUAUUCCCAAAAUUGCAAAACACACUCCAUCACUGUCACAUAAAAACAUACACACAACACACAACACACACACACACCCACACACACCUAGACACACUUGCCAUGUGCCCCACAAGAGGACUCUAGUUCAGCCCUGAAUGAAAUUCCCACGCCUUUAAUGUGUGCAUAUGAGACUAAAGGGUCUACACCCACCACCCCCUCACACCCACCCCUCCGCCCGCAAAGACCCUCACCAUACCCAGUCUAGACGGAAGACGUGUCUUGUGUUCAGUGCAGAACGAAAUUGGAAGAAAAAAAAAAAAAAGAAUAGUGGGACAUGAACAUUUAACGAUUUAACAGCACCUUACAACUGAAGUAUUCAUAUGAUAUUUAUCUAGUUAUUUCUGGAAGUUGAGGAUAUUUAGUAACAAAAACAUCUAAAGCAUAAUUAUUUCUGUUUCUGAACACACACUGAAAAAAUCAAAUUAGCUAAAUAUUUCAAGCAUGAGUAGGUUUGGAGAAUUGGAGGUUUGGGAAAAUUAGGACACCUAAAAUAGUGUUUGAAAAAUGUGAUAAAUUAAUUAAUUAAUUAAUAACUAAUAAAUAAAUAAUUAGUUCGGUGUGUGCUGCAGGAGUUUAAAGCAUGGAAGUUUUUCUUCUGUCUGCAUGUGUGUGUGUGUGUGUGUGUGUGUGUGUGUUUUAAUGUUUAACUGUAUGUUCAGAUGAAAGCAUAGAGGAACUGAAUGUUAGUCUAGGACACAAUGUAUGUAUCUAAAAGAUCUUGUUUGUUUUCAAAGCAGUUCGACUGUGUGUGUGUGUGUGUGUGUGUGUGUGUGUUUGAGCUGUAAGGCAAAUUACUUCACAAAUCUUUCAAACAUUUGAAUGCAGAAAUUCAGUGGCAAUUUUUCUUCUACAGAAAAACUAUUUUGUGUAGAAGUGUCAGUAACGAUUAAGCAGGUUGUGUGUUAAUGUUGUGUUAACGGUUAUUUUGCGUAGCGAAAGGUGAUGUGCAUAAAUCUUUUUAUUUGCUUUUUCACACAUGUGUAUAUUUGCACUUACCUGACAACAUUUUCCGUUUCUAGAAGAAAAAAUGCGUAAUUAAUGCUUAAUUACAAAAUGAAAAGUUCAUAAGGUGUUUAUUAAAAGUUGUUAAUUAUGUAGCUGACAGUAAUUCAAAUUUCUGAAUCUCCCGAUGUUUUAAUCAGCAUUUAAUAUGUGUGAUCAGCACUGAAACAUAUUUAUAAUGUUCUUUACAGUGUGUAUUUGUGUGAAUUUGAAUGUGUGUGUGUGUGUGUGUAUGUAUGUGUGUAUGUGUGUGUGUGUGUGUGUGUGUGUGUGUGUGUAUGCCUGCACCAAAACUCUGACUUUUAUGGCAUUACCUGUAUCUUGUUUCAAUUCUCGAACAGAUUUAAAUGGGAGGGAAAAUCUUAAAUCGUUUUAAUUAAGAUUACGAGAGUGAGUUUAAGCACAUCCACAUUUCUGUGACUGCACUGUAGAAAAUACAGCAAGUGUGCUUUUAGAAUUAUUUAAUGCCAUUCAGAAGUAUUUAAUAAAAAAGUACGAUCAUUAUGGCCAUUUAUUUUCCAGGUUGACAUCUGUAAAAUGAUUUUAUAUUACUAUUUGGAUAAUUGAUUUAUUCUAUAAAAAAUAAUUUAAAAGAAAAUAAUAACUUAUAAGAUAGUACAAGUACUAUAACAUCAGGUGGAUUUUACAGUUUGUUAGUAAAACAUAAAAAAGGUACUUCUCAUUUUCUCUUGAUUUAAAACGUGUUGCUGAAAUUACUGCACAUUUCUUUCAAUUAUCAAAUUUUUUUCUGCGAUAUGAAAAUACAAAUUAAAUUAAUUAACUGCUCUAGUGACAAUAUAUUGUUUGGUCUCAAAUUACCAUUAAACUAACAUUAGUGUAUAGUGUAUUAUCCUAGUGAUUCACAUGACAUCAGUGGAUUAACAGAACAAUCAUAGCUCUGUCACUCAGACGUGGCUGAACUAAACCUGUUCGCUUUAAAGUUUGCCAUUUCUGUUCUGGCGUUACAUCGGCUGGUAGCCAAAAUCACGUAACCAUGUAGAUAAUGGAUUGUAGACGAGUGACGUUUUGUGAAACGAAAUGUGAACUUUUAAAAUCGUGGUAUGAUUUCGGUCAUGACUACACAUUCAGUAAAGUAAAGGACAAAGAUAAAGCCAAACUUGUCUGGAAUUAACAAAUCAAACUGAAUUUUUUCCAAAGUGCUGUGAGAAUGGUGACAAAAAACACACGUUGCACUAAAAAUCUUUUUAUAAAACAUCCUGAUUAGGACUUUGAGUCUGCUGCUUGGUUCUGCUUAGUGCAUAUGGAUGUCUGUGUGUUUAUUACAUCUAUAUUAUAUUCAGUUUUUUGGUUAAUAGCUGGGAAGCUUGUUAUUUGUUAGUUGGUGUUGCCUCAUUUUUAUGGCCUGUGAAUUCAAGACUUUAGCUAUUGAGUAUUAAGUCUCUGUAUUGUGAUCAUUUAAGGACAUGGUAUUAUUUGUUCAUCUGGCUGCUGUGUGAUUGGCUAUCUUAAAUGUUCCACAGAUCUGUCAAUGUUUAAAGAUCUUUUGUUCUCAGGCAGCAGUUUCAUUUUUAAUUUUGUUGAUUUACGACUUAGUGCGAAAAGACGUAUUCAAAUACCUGCAGUAGUGAUUUAUCACUGGAAUAUUACAGCAGACCAGGUACAUUGCUCUCAGUCAGUGGAGCUCACACACCGGAGCAAAUCAAAUCGUUCCGGAUAGAAAGUUCCUUGCUGCAGCUUUGGUAACUGAAAUCAGGUACAUGAAAACGUGAAAGUGACUCCAGCACCCAAAGGUCAAAUGGGGAUUAAGAGAAACGGGACUCUGGAGCAAUGCAGAGAGUGGCCUGUUCUGCAUAAAAGCCCUAUUGUCACAGAACACAGCACUCUCACUCUCACAGCAAGGAGAAGGCAGGACUCGAGCCUUAGGAGUACAGCGCCACCUACUGGCUGCUAACCGCUCCAACCUGACACCAUCUCCACCAGGCUCCAUAGGGUCAUAUGAGCAAAGUAUUCAAACAACAGACAAUGAUAACCUACAUCUAGCACAAAUGAAUACACAAUGGGUGCACUGUGAAUGUAUAGGACGUGCAUGUUUCAGACUGAGAAAGGCAUUAAAGGAUAUUACAGCUCACUCUUAUAGACGCUCGGCAUGUGUGACAUGGCUUAUCAUUCAACGUCUUUGCCUCUCUCUUUAUCUUAUAUGCUCAGGGAUCGAACCUGUCCCUGUGAGGUGUGCCAGUCCUGCAUCUAGGUCACAGGUCACGUAAUGGCACAGUCACGCCAUGUAACGUUACAGUGACGUGAUGGAACUGGGAGGAGAGCAGAAUGUGUGGGAUAAAACAAGCCUUCACAUUUAUCUAUUAAAAGUCCAGCACAAACAGCUCCUGUUAUGCCAAACAUUGUUAGACACAUGGACAGGGAGUGGAGCUCAGCUCCACAUUUAACUCUACUCACUCCAACAGGUCUUUCAAGGACACCGAGGAGGCCUUAUAAUUACUCCCACCGCAGUUUGAUGUGGAUGGAUGAUUUGGCUUGAGGGAUGUUGUUAAUUCUCCCGCUUUAUUGUAGAGGUGGUUGAUUUUUUAAACGCCCUUCACCGAGGAGGUGUACAUUUAUAGAGCAUGAUUCAGAGCAGGUUACUCCUACUCUACACUGUCCAAUAAAAAGCCUCCGAAAGAGAAAGUUUGACAAGUAAUGUAAAUUACAUUAUAAAUUGUUCAUUUUAUAAAAAUGGGUCAAAGUCAAAAAGAAAAUAAAACAGUGCACUUUUUUCUGAAAAUAUAAACAAGAAGAACAUUGAAAAACAGAAAACAAAUGUGUUUAAAAAAAUUGUCCUUACAUAACUUCUUAUGGAGGCCAGAGUAAAAGCCAGGAGCAAAAUAAAGAGAUUUCAGAGGUUUUUCUUUUCCAUUGUGUUUGAUUUUAAUAGUGUGAUUUUUUUGAGUGUUAUCUAAGUAAUAUAAUUGCUUAUUCAUUAUAUGAUAUGACUAAAUGUUAUCCUCAGUAACAUUUCAGUGUGCUGAAUUUCUGUUCAUCUUAUUUGAAAUGUAUAAUAAAAAUUGCAUAAGAAAAAUCCCAAAACCUAAUAUUAAUCCAUGUAAUGAAUCUGAUUUGCCCACAGAUAUAUAUUUAGCUCUUAAAAAUAGACGCUUGAUAUUUUAGUGUUAUUUUGUUUUGAAAAUGACUUGAAUCAAUGUUUUAGUUAGUGGUAGUGUGUUUGUGCAUUGUGUGUGGCUGUGUGUGUAUGGUGAGCGUGUGUGAGUCAGUGCUGCGGUAACAGAGGGGUCUGUGGUAGUAUGAGUAAGCUGCGUGUGUGUGCCUGAGGUAAACCACAAUGUAGCCCACACUCUCGCUCCCACACAUGACUACCUCCUUACUCUCACCGCAGACCUCCCGAUUACUCAGAUAUGGACAUUCACGUACGCACGCCGCAGUCGUACCUGUACACUCACAGUCCACACAUGUGGAACCGCACCAAUGCGCCAGAGCUCACUCAAGCCAGACAGAGGUGCGAUCUGAUCCUCCUCAGGCUCAGCACGCACAACUGUAAACAAGGAUUCCAUUAAUAAUGAAGGAAGCUCGAGAAACAUCACACCACACAGUGCAGCUAAAGACACAGUGAGAGAAAGCAAGUGUCACUGCUGUGUUGACUGUGGUACAUGUAAAUAAAUAUGUUGACAAUCCAAUCUCUUUUUGUCUCUUUCUCUCUCUUUCUCUCUUUCUCUCU
Long non-coding RNA from Pangasianodon hypophthalmus (striped catfish), 9373 nucleotides. RefSeq lists it as uncharacterized. NCBI's taxonomy places the organism in Eukaryota, Metazoa, Chordata, Actinopteri, Siluriformes, Pangasiidae. The record is from RefSeq and is a predicted model, not a curated record. The transcript has 5 exons.